Molecule: ribosomal RNA, 420 nt
Filed under: uncultured bacterium
Lineage: Bacteria
Description: bacterial SSU rRNA
Rfam family: Bacterial small subunit ribosomal RNA
Source: RNAcentral
UAAGGAAUAUUGCUCAAUGGGAGAAAUCCUGAAGCAGCAACGCCGCGUGGAGGAUGAAGGGUCUAUGACUUGUAAACUCCUGUAAAGAAGGAAAAAAUUCCCAUUUGAUGGGAGAUGAUGGUACUUCUGGAGUAAGCCCAGGCUAACUACGUGCCAGCAGCCGAGGUAAUACGUAGGGGGCAAGCGUUGUCAGGAUUUACUGGGUGAAAAGGGUGCUCAGGCGGAUUUGUAAGUCAGAGGUGAAAUCUUACAGCUUAACUGUGAAACUGCCAUUGAUACUGCAAGCCUAGAGUAUGGAAGAGAGUGAUUGAAUAUCUGGGGUAGCAGUGAAAUGCUUAGAUAUCAGAUAGAACACCAAUUGCGAAGGCAGUCACUUGGUCCAUUACUGACGCUAAAGCACGAAAGCGUGGGUAGCAAACA